GUCCACCAGGAGAUGCUCCUGCAUCUCCAUCGGUGAAGAGACCUGAGCCCGUUGCCCAGGAGCUCGUGUGUCUGAUGCCAGAAGCAGCACGUCAUCCUUUAACAGAGCCGACUGUCACACUUCCUGUGUCAGAGGCGCUCCUGACUUCUCCCGAGACGUCUGCAGAGCCCGGUCAACUGCCAACUCCACAGAGAGGGCAAAGUCAGUAUUUUA
Long non-coding RNA from Pseudoliparis swirei, 213 nucleotides. RefSeq lists it as uncharacterized. NCBI's taxonomy places the organism in Eukaryota, Metazoa, Chordata, Actinopteri, Perciformes, Liparidae. The record is from RefSeq and is a predicted model, not a curated record. The transcript is spliced from 3 exons.